Molecule: ribosomal RNA, 502 nt
Filed under: uncultured bacterium
Lineage: Bacteria
Description: bacterial SSU rRNA
Rfam family: Bacterial small subunit ribosomal RNA
Source: RNAcentral
UCAGGAUGAACGCUAGCGGCAGGCUUAACACAUGCAAGUCGAGGGGCAUCGGGAGUAGCAAUACUGCCGGCGACCGGCGCAAGGGUGCGUAACGCGUGAGCAACAUGCCCGUAUCAGGGGGGAUAAUCCAUGGAAACGUGGUCUAAUACCCCAUAGUAAUUAUGUAAGGCAUCUUAUAUAAUUUAAAGCUUUGGUGGAUACGGAUUGGCUCGCGUGACAUUAGCUAGAUGGUAAGGUAACGGCUUACCAUGGCUACGAUGUCUAGGGGUUCUGAGAGGAAGGUCCCCCCACACUGGAACUGAGACACGGUCCAGACUCCUACGGGAGGCAGCAGUGAGGAAUAUUGGACAAUGGAUGGAAAUCUGAUCCAGCCAUGCCGCGUGCAAGGGAAGACGGCCCUAUGGGUUGUAAACUGCUUUUGUAUGGGAGCAAUAAGGGCUACGCGUAGUCCGAUGAGAGUACCAUACGAAUAAGCACCGGCUAACUCCGUGCCAGCCGCCGC